Long non-coding RNA from Camelus dromedarius (Arabian camel), 3445 nucleotides. RefSeq lists it as uncharacterized. The record is from RefSeq and is a predicted model, not a curated record. NCBI's taxonomy places the organism in Eukaryota, Metazoa, Chordata, Mammalia, Artiodactyla, Camelidae. The transcript is spliced from 3 exons.
UUUCCAGUGAUUUAGCAUCCUGGCUGGGAGGGGUCAUGUGUUCUACAGUGAGUUCUGAGUAUCCUGCACCGCCCUCGAGGACCUGCAGGGGGCGCGCGAAGCCAGCGUGUCUUAGGUGGCGGUGCGCAUACGCAGUCCGCGUCAGCAGCCAGCAUCUUCCCUGGGGGCGGAGCUUGUUUUCCUCAGGACUGAGCGGGCGGCGCCAUGGAGGCUCCAGGACAGGGCUGCCUGCGUGUCCGCGGGAGGAGGACGCUCCCCGCCCGCUGUCUGAAGUUACGCCGGUUUCCCACUGCCUGCGCCCGCUUCCUGCCGGGGUGUGUGUGGACCUGACCGAGCUGGGGCCCCGGCCGGCUGGGCAGGAGGGGACGGGUGCGCUGGCGGGCCCGCUUCGACUAUUCUCCUCGCCCGCAGGGAGCAGAUUGAAUCUGACUGAGACAUAACUUCGAUGAGAUCACACUGCUAUAAAACGUCAGUAUUGAAAAUCAAAUAUUUCAUACUAUUUCUCAAUCUUGAAAGAAAGAAUAUUUCCAAAAAAAAAAAAAAGAGGAGUUGUUAAGCUGCCCCAGAUACAUAUGCACUGGCUUGAGGACCAGCAUAUUGAAGGAACUUGAAAAUGGAAGACCACCUCCACCCUACUGCCCUCUUCAACAGAAGAGCAAUCGGGACUGGUUCCUGACAUUGUGCCCUGUGGAGCUGUCAUUACAGCUUAAUCACUCCACUCACCAGAGAACUCGACAUAUCACAUCACACGUCUUAAGACUAUUUAGGAUAAUGGCACACAUUCCAAGCCAACUUUAUGAUUUCCUUUUUGGUGAUCUCCUCCUGUUGAAAAGUAAAAUGUCCUCCCAAAGGUUGUUUUCUGACGUUGGUUAUUUUAAGUGUCCCCUAUCAGAUUGCCAUUCUCCCCUCUCUUUUCUCAUGUUCUCCUCUGAAUGGAUAUCCAUCCCUUUGUCAUCAUUUUGUCUAGUUUUCUGAUAUCCUAACCAUUCUCUUAAUUUCCAGUUCCACCUCCUGUAUACAAGGAACAUUAUUCUGGAAGACACUUCCCUGAAACCUGAGUUUCAACAGAAACUUGGGGGCAAGGGUUCUGCCCAUACAGUGAGAACAAGCAAUUAUAACCUUAAGAGAGUAUGGGAAUUCUGAUGUCACUACUCCGUGAUUCUUUAUUUUCAGUCAAUAAAUAACAUGUACCUCUGAUGAUGGCUGUAUGGUCAGGCAUCUCAAGAUGGCUUCUCUCUAUACAUCUCCUGCUUGACUGGUGCCUGCUUCACCUACACACAACUCAUAAGACUGAUCUUCCUUCAUAUUCACCCCAGGCCCCAGCUAAUGACUGUUCUAGAUUUAGAUCAGAACUCACCACUAUGCUUAUCCAAGGGGUGGUGAGAGGCAUGACCCUGUGCUGAUUAGCCUCAUAACCAAUGAGCCAACCUGACAUCAACUCCCCUAUGACUGGUAACCUCUUCUUCCCCACCAGGAGCAAAGACUGCCAUCAUGUCCUGCCCUCCAGCUCCCACACAUGGCAGGAUGUUGCUCCAGGACUUUGCUUCAGAUGUGUAAGAUCACCCUAAUCAUUAAACUAUUGAUUAUCUUUGUUGCUGACUCUGGGAUCUUUCUCAGGUCUUGAAGCUGGGCAAGUACAGGGCUUGUAGACCUGCAGGGUGCAGUCCAGUGCUGACAUAGCUAAUUAAUACCCUCACAUAAAACACUUCGUUUAUAUAAACAUAACGUAACUAGUAGCCAAAUUGGGUUCAAAAGAAUGGAAAUACAUGGAGAUCAGAAGCAACCUUAGCUCUAGGGUCCUCAGAAAGCCCAGAUUCAGUGGGAAAUCAUGGUACAGCACAAGGCUUGUGGGGAGAAAUGAAUAGCAGGCACAGCUUUGCCCAUCUCUUAUCUAAUUCUCAAUAGUUCCUUCUGUAUUGGACCAACCUGGGAUGUGUCUAUGUCCAUUCAAAUACUAUCCCUUUCUGAAACUCUUAUGAAAAUUUCAGUGCACAUCAUGUUAAUUAUGAUGUUUCACUCAUGAUGCCACUUAAACUUAUCAUCAUCUUGCAUUGUUUCAAAAUAUUGAAUGUAUGUAAUUACUCUAAUUAUUUAUGUUGCCUUAUUUUAGUUGUGAUGGUUAUAUAUUUUUUCAGGUUUAUUUUCUUCUCUUGUAAAACUGUCUGCUCAAGCAAAGUAGAUCUACCCAAUGUUUCACAAUGAUACCCUGUACAUUUUGCCUUCCCAAAAUGUUACUUUAAAUAUUCUAUUUGAAGAGUUUUCUCUCUCUUCUCACUCUGUGUGAAUAGUGUUCAUCCUUCAAAAACCAGUCAAUGCCAGUGACUUCAAAAGGGUCAUUCCUCUCACAAAAGUGUAUCUGACCUUGUGAGUAUGCUUUUUCUCAGAAAAAAAAAUCAUGAAUUUGCAUAAUUUGUUUGGCAGUUUCUAUAUGCAGGUAUAUCUUAUUUUAUUGUGCUUCACUUAACUGUACUUUGCAGAUACUGAGUUUUUUCUUUACAAAUUGAAAGUUUGUGGCAACCUGGUCUCUGGCAAGUCUAUCACUGCCAUUUUUCCACAUUGUAUCUCUCUGUCACACUUUGGUAAUUUUCCCAGUAUUUCAAACUUUUUCAUUAUUAUUAUAUUUGUUAUGGUGACCUGUGAUCUUUGAUGUUACUAUUGUAAUUGUUUCAGAGUGCCAUGAACCCCACUCACAUGAGAUGAAAACCAGAUUCACAGAUGCUGUGUGUGUUCUGACUGCUCCAUUGACUUGACUGUUCCCCCAUCUCUCUUUCUUUCCUUGGGCCUCACUAUUCCCUGAGACACAAUAAUAUUUAAAUUAGAUGAGUUGAUAACCCUACAAUGGCCUCUAAGUGUUCAAGUGAAAGAGGAAUCAAUCAAUAUUUUGCUAUAAAUUAUUAUUUAUUGUUAUUUUAAGAAAUUGCCAGACAUCUCGACUUUCAGCAACUGUUAGCCUGAUCUGUCAGCAUCGAGGCAAGACCCUUCACAAGUAAAAAAAUUAUGACUCACUGAAGGCUCAGAUGAUGGCUAACAGUUUUUAAAGUAUUUUUAAUUGAGGUAUGUGUAUUUUUUUUUAGAUAUAAUAAUAUUGCAAGCUAAAUAGACUACAUUGUAGUAUAACAUAAAUUUUAUAUGCACUUGGAAACCAAAAACAUUAUGUGGCUCAUUUUACUGUGAUAUGUUCUUUAUCGUAGUUGUCUGGAAUUGAACAUGCAAUAUCUUUGAGAUAUGCCUGUAUACCUCUUUCUAUCAUGUAUCUAAUUAUGUCCCUAUGAAUCUACUUUCAUAUCUACACAUAUAUCACUUAGUUUGUAAAUGCUAAGAAAGUUAAUACAAUUUGAGGUACCACUUCACACCUACCAGGAUGGCUAUCAUUAAAAAAAAAAAAAAGACAGGCAAUAACAGAAAAGAAUGUGAAGAAUUUGGAAAAUUCAUACAUUGCUUGGAG